This 327-nucleotide ribosomal RNA is filed under the name Triticum aestivum (bread wheat). RNAcentral's name for it is "partial small subunit ribosomal RNA". Lineage: Eukaryota; Viridiplantae; Streptophyta; Magnoliopsida; Poales; Poaceae. The record is from RNAcentral.
AUGCCUACGAGCUUUUCACAUAUUGCUUUUUGCUUAAUUACUUUACUGUUGCCACUGUUACAAUUACUACAAAACUGCUACGGUUACUUUUGCCACCGUUACCGUUACUUCCAUACUACUUUGCUGUUAAAUAAUUUGCUGCAGAUAUUAAGUUAUUCAGGUGUGGUUGAAUUGACAACCCAACUGCUAAUACUUAAGAAUAUUCUUUGGCUCCCCUUGUGUCGAAUUAAUAAAUUUGGGUUGAAUACUCUACCCUUGAAAACAGUUGCGAUCCUAUAUACUUGUGGGUUAUCAGCUGUGUGUGCUAGCUUUGUACAUAGGUAUUGA